UUGGUUAAGUCAGGCAACGAGCGAGAUCCGCACCUUUAUUUGCCACCAAGAAGUCACGACUUCGUUGGGAACACUAAAGGGACCGCCGUCGAUAAGACGGAGGAAGGAGCGGGCAAAGGCAGGUCAGUAUGCCCCGAAACCCCUGGGCUACACGCGGGCUGCAAUGGUAUGAACAAUGGGCUGUGACUCCGAAAGGAGAAACCAAUCCCGAAAUCAUAUCUCAGUUGGAAUUGUCGGCUGUAACCCGCCGACAUGAACGCGGAAUCCCUAGUAAUCGUGUGUCAUCAUCGCACGGUGAAUACGUCCCUGCUCCUUGCACA
Molecule: ribosomal RNA, 320 nt
Filed under: uncultured archaeon
Lineage: Archaea
Description: bacterial SSU rRNA
Rfam family: Archaeal small subunit ribosomal RNA
Source: RNAcentral